This 433-nucleotide ribosomal RNA is filed under the name uncultured bacterium. RNAcentral describes it as "partial 16S ribosomal RNA". It matches the Rfam family "Bacterial small subunit ribosomal RNA", at positions 29 to 507 of the family's 1533-position model. The record is from RNAcentral.
GCGAACGCUGGCGGCAGGCCUAACACAUGCAAGUCGAACGAACCUUUCGGGGUUAGUGGCGGACGGGUGAGUAACACGUGGGAACGUGCCUUUAGGUUCGGAAUAACUCAGGGAAACUUGUGCUAAUACCGAAUGUGCCCUUCGGGGGAAAGAUUUAUCGCCUUUAGAGCGGCCCGCGUCUGAUUAGCUAGUUGGUUGAGGUAAUGGCUCACCAAGGCGACGAUCAGUAGCUGGUCUGAGAAGAUGAUCAGCCACAUUGGGACUGAGACACGGCCCAAACUCCUACGGGAGGCAGCAGUGGGGAAUCUUGCGCAAUGGGCGAAAGCCUGACGCAGCCAUGCCGCGUGAAUGAUGAAGGUCUUAGGAUUGUAAAAUUCUUUCACCGGGGACGAUAAUGACGGUACCCGGAGAAGAAGCCCCGGCUAACUUCGUG